GAUGAACGCUAGCGAUAGGCCUAACACAUGCAAGUCGAGGGGCAUCACAUGAAGUAGCAAUACGGAUAGUGGCGACCGGCGCACGGGUGAGUAACACGUAUGCAACCUGCCUUCAACAAGGGGAUAACCCGUUGAAAGACGGACUAAUACCCUAUAACACAGGGGUCCCGCAUGGGAAUAUUUGUUAAAGGACAACCGGUUGAAGAUGGGCAUGCGUUCCAUUAGCUAGUUGGCGGGGUAACGGCCCACCAAGGCAACGAUGGAUAGGGGAACUGAGAGGUUUAUCCCCCACACUGGUACUGAGACACGGACCAGACUCCUACGGGAGGCAGCAGUGAGGAAUAUUGGUCAAUGGACGCAAGUCUGAACCAGCCACGUCGCGUGAAGGAAGACGGCCCUACGGGUUGUAAACUUCUUUUAUACGGGAAUAAAGUGCCCCACGCGUGGGGUUUUGCAUGUACCGUAUGAAUAAGGAUCGGCUAACUCCGUG
RNAcentral lists this ribosomal RNA (490 nucleotides) under uncultured bacterium. Its description in RNAcentral is "bacterial SSU rRNA". It matches the Rfam family "Bacterial small subunit ribosomal RNA", at positions 28 to 507 of the family's 1533-position model. The record is from RNAcentral.